This 1765-nucleotide long non-coding RNA is filed under the name Acanthaster planci (crown-of-thorns starfish). RNAcentral describes it as "uncharacterized LOC110989961, transcript variant X2". The record is from RNAcentral. Lineage: Eukaryota; Metazoa; Echinodermata; Asteroidea; Valvatida; Acanthasteridae.
UUGGUCCCCUACCUUUGGGCCCAUCUUCUGGCAUCACUGCCCUGAUAGAGUAAGGUGAUAGCAGCUUGGUUGGUUUUCUGCCUGUGAGCUCAUCUCGUGGCAUCACUGUCCUGAUAGAGUAAGGCGAGAGCAGCGAGGUUGGUCCUUGGCUUGUGGACUCAUCUUCUGACAUCAUUCUUCCGAUAGAGUAAGGUGAUAGCAGUGUGGGUGGACCCCUGCCUGUGGGCUCAUCUUCUGGCAUCAUUGUUUUGAUAAAAUUUUGGAAGGCUUGAUUGCCAAGUGAAUUUACUACCAUGGCUGCUAAUGUAUUCCCCACAUUGUGAUGUGAGUGGACCAACCAACGAUGAAAUCUCCAAAGUUGAAGAGGCAGGUUACCCUGCAGGUUUGGGAUUACCUUGUUGCUAGAUGAAAUUGUACUGAAAUAGCUGCCUACAUUGAGACUGGCUAACGUAUCCUGUGUCGUGGUGUGAAUGGACUAACCAAGAAAGAUCUCCAAAGUUGAAGAGGCAGGUUACCAUGCAGACAUUGUCGACAUGGAAGCUGUGCAUACAAUAACCAGAUCUGCAAUGCCAAUAAGAAGAGCGCCCUCGUCUCCUUCAACAAGGAGAGAAGCAAGAUGGAGGACAAGAUCCUCUGGGACUUCCCAGAGAUGAUUCAUGAGAACAUCUAGGAAAGGAAGUAACUCAGAUGGAUGCCAGUCUUCGCCUCCAUCACUGAGGAGGAACAGUUUCUAAGAUUGCAUGAGGGAUCCUCGUCAGAACCACAAUCAUUGAUUCACAAAGGCAAGGAAAGGAUUCAAUCUUCUCAGAGAUGCAGUUCCUUGCUUCCACCUUAACACUUGAUGGAGCAAGUCUAUCUGCAUUUGUACACUACUCAAAAGGAUCAAAGGAUCAGAAUUUAAAAAAAGGAUUCACAUCUUUAGAAAUAUGAGUGUCAUUUAAUGUGGUUAUGUUCUGGCUACAAAACAAGAAAAACUUAUUGGUUCCAGUCCAAUGUAAACUUUCUCUGCAGAGUACUGAAGUCCCAUGAAAUUGAAAAACCCUUUAGGUCAGCACCUUGUCAAGGUCACCUACACAGCCCUAAAAAUGAUGAAAGUGGAGUUUUGGGAGCAUUGAGUUGUUGGACUAAUAUCUUGUUAAUGUGAGGGCGCUGUUUAUAAGUUAGAAUGAUGUCCUGUUAAUGUGAGGGCGCUACUUUUUAUGCUGAAAUUAUUACAGCAGAGAAAUGAAGCAGUUUGAAGAUACGAUACAUACAUGUAUCUCAGUGUGAAAAAAUUAUAAGACCUUUUUUGUUUCGGAAAAUAAUGCAUACAUCUGUUUGUAAAUCUUCCCCAAAUCACAUAUUUUUAUAAUUAUCCAUAAAAAUAGACUGAUACAUUUCCUAGUUGUUUGUGAACCAGCGCAGUUCAUUUCUGACCAAAGGAGACUCUGUUGUUUAGAAAAUUGCGCCCUCUCUUGGUCAAGCUCAGGGCUCAUUGGACUAUGAAAGACAUGAUGCAUUAUCUUUCACUGUAUCAAAGUAGACAUCUGGCUGAGAUUUUCAGACAAAUGUCUGAUCCUUUAAUAUUUUUGAGUAGUGUAUAUUGGUAUACAGUACAAUGCUGCUAUAAUGAACAGGGUAGGGUCCACACACAGUGCUUGGUGUAGCAUACCUCCCCAACUGUUCUGAUUUCAUUGGGUGAUAUUUCAUAGGCUUAAAAAUUAAACUGUUCCCAUUUCUGUAAAAAAAGGAGAACAAAAUUCCUUGCAAGAGGGCGCUAUUUGCC